UUUGCCCAUUUCUGUUCGUGUCGAGCUCCUCUUUGUCUUCCUUUUCUCCUAUUCAUCCUCCGCCGCUGCCUGAUGCUAUGACGUUCCUCUUCUGAAAACCUUCAGUCGCUUCUCCACUCUUCUGCACUGUGAUGUCUUCAGCUGUCCACCGCGGCUUUCUUCGCUCUCCCCUACGGCGAUGCCAUUGCUCCUUCGUUUUUUCUUUCCCCCCAUCAGUUCCAUGGUGAGAACCUGCAUUUCUCUUUUCUCUCAGCCCCAUCACCUCCAUCUGACUUUUCUCUCGGGCAUCCUGCGCAGAGGAAAAAGGGGAGGAGGGGAGUGGAUGGCUUUCAUCACCGUUUUUCAUCCUGCAGGCAGCUGUAAUGCGCUGUUAGAAGAACAGGAGGGCUGAUUCUUCCUCCCUCAGCAUGCUCCCGACAUUUUCUCCCACGUCGAUCAGCCAAUUCAGAUUGUUGAGAAUAUUCAAGACGCCCCUUUUCUUGUGUGCCUGUACUCAAGCACAAAAGGUGUAGCAAUGAGGUUAGAGAGAGAGUUCGUGGGAGUAGAAGAACAGAAUUGGUCGAAGAUGAAGAGUUCUCUGAAGGAGAAGGCACUGGAUGGAAUGAUUCUGGUGGAGGAGCUCAAGGAAAUCAAGAAGGAAGCAGAGGACAGCACAAGUAAAUGCUCCAAAUUAUGGGGCUUGUUGAUGCAGGAGAAAGGAAUAGAUCUUGGUGCUUGUUACAUCCUCAAGACUUCCAGGAUUUGCUCUGCUUUGGGGUUGUGCACCCACUUUUGCCUGAUUAGGGCACAGUGUCAUGGCAACGCAGCUGAAGUUCAGCUAAGAAAUUCAUGGCUCAACAUGGAUUUCCAAGAUUAUCCCAGAAGCCUUGGAGGUCCAUUUUUUUUUUUAAAUCAAUUGAUUUGUAUAUAGAACAGGGGAAAUUUUUGAUGCAGGAUACUUCUUUGACA
Molecule: long non-coding RNA, 948 nt
Organism: Nymphaea colorata (pocket water lily)
Lineage: Eukaryota; Viridiplantae; Streptophyta; Magnoliopsida; Nymphaeales; Nymphaeaceae
Exons: 2
Source: RefSeq, a predicted model, not a curated record